AUGAUGCAGUGCCACCUCCAGACACACUAUACCUCUCUCUCUCUUCAGAGAAUGAAAGAAACCAUACGAGGCACACCAGGCCAAUCAUUUCCUGAAGUUUGUGGCACCAUGGGGAUCGCGCGAUUCUUCCUCCUGCUCAGUUGCUUCCUCUUGGUUUUUGUACAAGGUCUAGACAUCCCUGACCCGGAUGAAAUUGAGUACAUCAGACAACAGGAAGAAGCGACAGUAAACGGCACUGUCCACCUUUAUUGUGGAUCUGAUGUUCCCACACUGUUCAUCUGGGUGUUCUCCCGGCCUGGCACAGAGAGAAAUGAGCCUUUGGCAUACAACUACGGCCAGGGGUCGAAACUCCUGUCCUUAGCCAGCACCCUUGGAGAGAUUUCCUUGCUCACCAACACAACCACUCUUGUGAUUGAAGGGGUUUCAGAAGAGGCUGAGGGGGUAUACACUUGCCAGGCCCUAUACGACAUGGAUGAACCGCCUAAGGUUAGGUUUUACUACACCCAGCUGCACCUGCAGGAUGAAGAGGAGAGAUCCAGGGGGUCGGGAUCUCCACCACCGGACAGUGACUAAAGGACAGGUCGACUAACUAGAAUACAUAUUUUUAAAGUGAUAACUGUAUUGAGAAGUUUAUGAAGUUAACUUGUUAACCGAAGUCCAGGAGCGAGACCAUGCCUCACUUUGCCUCCUUAUCCAAUCAUCUACUGCAGGGGUCACCAAACUUGUAUUGCAGAUUUUAGCUCCUACCCUAAUCAAACACACCUGAUCAAAGUAAUCAAGGUCUUGCUAGGUAUACUUGAAACAUCCAGGCAGGUGUGUUGAGGCAAGUUGGAGCUAAACCCUGCAGGGACACUAGCCCUCCAGGACCGACAUUGGUGACCCCUGAUCUACUGCUUAAACUUAUUUAAGGAAGAUCAGCCCUCUAGCACUGUUCAUCUCAUUCUCUCAAACCCACUCUCCAUCCUUCCUUAUAACCUUCUCUCCCCUCCUUGGUUGAAUUGGGGGAGUCCUAAUCACCCUACCAAAACAUUACAGAGAUGCUACCCCCACUCUGAGUCUCUGGGCAUCAGCGUUGAUUGCCAAAUCAAUGAAUCUGCUUGUUUAUAAUUGCGUUACUUUUAUUCCUCUUCAUCCCCCUCUUCCUUACCAUCCCUUUUCAUCCCUACAUCCCCACAACAAAGACUGCCUCAAAGUGUGGUGUGGUCGAUGUUGGUGAAACAGUAUUUAUGUGAAGGUAAAUUCACUGCAAUUCAUUUACGUUUAGAGGUAACAUCCCUAGAGUAACUUGUUUACCCUUUAAGAUAUGAAAUGAGUUAUAAAUACAAAUAAACUGAUGUUCAUUGUGUGAUCUGUUUACUUCUUUUUA
Molecule: long non-coding RNA, 1366 nt
Filed under: Danio rerio (zebrafish)
Lineage: Eukaryota; Metazoa; Chordata; Actinopteri; Cypriniformes; Danionidae
Description: lncRNA (ENSDARG00000117486.1)
Source: RNAcentral